Molecule: ribosomal RNA, 497 nt
Filed under: uncultured bacterium
Lineage: Bacteria
Description: partial 16S ribosomal RNA
Rfam family: Bacterial small subunit ribosomal RNA
Source: RNAcentral
GAUGAACGCUGGCGGCGUGCCUAAUACAUGCAAGUCGAGCGAACAGACGAGGAGCUUGCUCCUCUGACGUUAGCGGCGGACGGGUGAGUAACACGUGGAUAACCUACCUAUAAGACCGGGAUAACUUCGGGAAACCGGAGCUAAUACCGGAUAAUAUAUUGAACCGCAUGGUUCAAUAGUGAAAGACGGUUUUGCUGUCACUUAUAGAUGGAUCCGCGCCGCAUUAGCUAGUUGGUAAGGUAACGGCUUACCAAGGCAACGAUGCGUAGCCGACCUGAGAGGGUGAUCGGCCACACUGGAACUGAGACACGGUCCAGACUCCUACGGGAGGCAGCAGUAGGGAAUCUUUCGCAAUGGGCGAAAGCUUGACGGAGCAACGCCGCGUGAGUGAUGAAGGUCUUCGGAUCGUAAAACUCUGUUAUUAGGGAAGAACAAAUGUGUAAGUAACUAUGCACGUCUUGACGGUACCUAAUCAGAAAGCCACGGCUAACUACGUG